This 357-nucleotide non-coding RNA is filed under the name Bensingtonia ciliata. RNAcentral's name for it is "group I intron". The stretch from base 43 to 346 matches the Rfam family "Group I catalytic intron". From Rfam's summary of the family: Group I catalytic introns are large self-splicing ribozymes. They catalyse their own excision from mRNA, tRNA and rRNA precursors in a wide range of organisms. The core secondary structure consists of 9 paired regions (P1-P9). The record is from RNAcentral. Lineage: Eukaryota; Fungi; Basidiomycota; Agaricostilbomycetes; Agaricostilbales; Kondoaceae.
AAGUCGUAACAAGGUUUCCGUAGAGAACAAAUGAUUCUUUCGCUAAGACAUUUGCUGAAGCCUUGAAGAGCAGUAGUCAUCCUUACUGCUAGUUCAACUUAUUGUUGAGCAACAUUGCCAAAUUGCGGGAAAGUCUUAAUGACUUCGCUACCAAGUUCAAUAGCGUACUCUGAAUGGCCGGCUUAAUACACCGGGUAGGGUUAUAAUGCGAAGUAUGUUACAAUAGGCAACCUGCAGCCAACUUCUACAUUGUAGGAUGCUGUUCACAGAUCAAAUGGCAGUGGGUGCAUCAUGUAAGCUAAUGAUGCGCUUAAGAUAUGAUCGGUCCUUAUUGCGAGAGCUUAAGGUAGAAAACGU